GGGCGGAUAGCUCAGUCGGGAGAGCGCCGGUCUUACACGCCGGAGGUCGUAGGUUCGAUCCCUGCUCCGCCUA
Molecule: transfer RNA, 73 nt
Filed under: Thermodesulfobacteriota bacterium
Lineage: Bacteria; Pseudomonadati; Thermodesulfobacteriota
Description: tRNA-Val
Rfam family: tRNA
About the family: Transfer RNA (tRNA) molecules are approximately 80 nucleotides in length. Their secondary structure includes four short double-helical elements and three loops (D, anti-codon, and T loops).
Source: RNAcentral